ACAGACAGACAGACACACGAGUGAUCCUAUAAGGUUCCCGUUUUUCCUUUUUGAGGUACAGAAUCCUAAAAACGAAACUUUUUUUACGAAAGUGAGAGUGAGAAGAGAGUAAAUCCAUCUCACUGUCACUUUUAUGAAACAAUUCCAAUAUAAAAUGUGAAAAUUUCAAAGGGAUACCCUGUAAGAAAUUCCUAAUUUAUUUGCUUCUACAGUUAACAAUAUUGUCCUUUUAUUCGAAAAUGUUUGAACGAUGUAUCAAAUGUGAAACGUUAUUCGACUUAAACGUGGCCUAAACGAAAAUAUUACUUUGCUAAAUGAAAAUUGUCCAAUAAUAGUUCGAAUAAUUUGCACAGAAGCGAACUAAACCGAACCAAGAUUCUACAUAAAACGUUAUUUGACCAAAAGUGACAGCUAUAGUUUGAUUAUUCUACUAAAUGGCAUUCGGCGAAUCGUUGUCGGCGAAUCAAUAAUAGGCUAAAAAAAAUAUCGGAGAAUCACUAUAGGUGUAGCCAUUUAUUUAAAUAAAAAACUAAAUCCUUAUAUAGUUUCUUUUUGACCCAGUGGUUGACUGGUGGAGAAUGCUUUAAGGCAUUAAGCCCACCAUUUGUACUUAUUUUUUAUGUGCAAUAAAUAAAUAUAAUAUUCAGUAAUGUCUUUAGAAUUUUUACAUUACGUAAAAUACUCUAAAGAACUCCAAGGAGGGCUAAAAGUCACCAAAAUGGUGACUUUUGGAACCGUCUAGCAACACUGAUUAAGGAAGGGCAGGGCGGGGCACCAUUAUCGCGUGUUGCCAAUUAUAAAGAAAAAUGUUGGGUAGUAUAAUAUAGAGCCCUAUAACGAGAAAGGCAGUAUAUACAAGUAUUCCCGACGUUUGGACCGUGUAGAUUAUAAUUAUACACGUUUAUAAUCUCUCACGAAUCAGAAAUGUAAAAGUAAAACUCGUGCCACAUUAUAGUCUAAUGAAAUAUUGAGUGGCAACACCCAAUAAAAUGUCAUUCUGACAUUGAUAACUUUGACAAGCUACUCAAGCUCUCUAGCUAGCUAGUCUUUGUUGAGUUCAUGAUGAUAUUCGUGAUAUUUUUGCCGUGAUAUGCAAAUGCAAACAAAAACAAGGGUCAGAGUAUAGCAAAAGGGGCCCGAUUCUGGGACUUAGAAAAAUUUGUGAAGAAUUUUUUUUUGAAGAAGAAAGGGAAAACAUGGAGUGUCUAGAAGUGGUGUCCAAAUUUGUAGGAAAACUCGACGUUUCUGAAGAAAAAUAAGUUCUUUUGGAAAAUCUUGGGAUGCUGAAAGACUUGCUGAUUGAAAAGAUUUGCUUAGUCAAAACAAAAUUUAGAGAAAAUAUCGUCAAUGACUGAUAUCAGUUUUUCUACAUUGAAAAGAAUAAAUAUUGAGGGAAAAGCUAACCAUGGUAUCUUCUGUACUCCAGGGAAGAAAGGAUCAGACAAGCCCACAAGAUAGAGCUAAUCUGGAGCUCAGCAAAGAGAAGAGUCACAAGCAAAAAUUUUGGCAUACCAGCAGCUGACCUUGAAAAACUUAUUCAGGAAGCUUUUGACAGCAUAACACCAGAGCUUUAGAAGAAAAUGACUCAUCAUGUGCUCAAUAUUGAAGCUCAGUGUAAAACCAGAAACAGAAUAAUGGAAGAACUUGAAUCGUUUAUUUUAAGUGUGUUUAAUGAUGAUGACUCUGACAGUAGUUCAGAAUCAAUGGACGCUGAGUUUCUAGAAUCCGAUUUUGAUUAUAGUU
This 1743-nucleotide long non-coding RNA is filed under the name Leguminivora glycinivorella. RNAcentral describes it as "uncharacterized LOC125225485". The record is from RNAcentral. Lineage: Eukaryota; Metazoa; Arthropoda; Insecta; Lepidoptera; Tortricidae.